Oreochromis aureus is the source of this 705-nucleotide long non-coding RNA. RefSeq lists it as uncharacterized. NCBI's taxonomy places the organism in Eukaryota, Metazoa, Chordata, Actinopteri, Cichliformes, Cichlidae. The record is from RefSeq and is a predicted model, not a curated record. The transcript has 4 exons.
GGGAUCUAACAUGUGUGCAGACUGACUGAAAAUAAGAGAGUGGACGUGUUUAUAGUAAAAAAGAAAGAACAUUAUGAAAAACAGUGUAGCAACCUGUCUCAUUCACAUGUUCUUUGACAACAGGUCUCAUCAUGAAUUUGAAAAAUGCUGCUACUAUACCAGAGGGUUUCAAGGGAAGGCAGGCUGGGGUCCAGGUAGGUCUCUGCAGGAGGAGAUGGAGAACCAACGAUUAGCCACAGAACCAGGGAGCACAAGGAAAAAUAUCAUAGAGAGCUGGGCUACACUAACUUAAAAUAGCACAACAAUCCACCAAGGACCAACACUCCACUGUGGCCUUAAAUGGCGUCAGGGGCAAUCAGCCAGAACCAGCAUCAGGUGAGUAGAAGGAGGGUGAGGAUCCAGGAAGGCACAGGUGUCCAGACGCCACCCUAGCAGAGAAGGUGAGUAACACAUCCAGAGCAGCCACCCAGAAGCCUGACACACCUGGAGCUGUUGGGAAUCACGUCUUCACGCAUAGAAAAUCCAAAAGUGGAGGAGUGGACAUUGCAAUCGUCUACAUGCUGCUUAUGGAUUACUGAUGACCCGACAAGACAGACUGCAUGUAAGACUGGGCAGUGCUCUGUAUGAUUUGGUGAUGUUCAGUACAGGAGCUCCACAGGAGACUGUGCUGUCUUCCUGCUCUCCUUGCAAACCUCAGAACUUCUU